GAAAAUUGAAGUCUAAAAUAGAACAACCACUCAAAAAUUCAUAAGUCAGCAUAGAUCUGAAUUACAUAAAAUGAUAAACUGGAGUCGGUAUCAUGGAGAUCAUUAAUGGAUAUGAGAAGAUAACAGAAGACAACAAAGGCAGUUUUCAUUUUUGACCUGCAUUGGAAUAACUGCUAGUUGCCUGCUGGGAGAUGACACAAUUUAUGGAUUAAGCGCCAGCUAAUGUCUCAGGGAUUCAAAGAUUUUCUUUUGCCCAGAUCAGUUAACUCUUCAUCUUUUUUCCUUGAUCUUAAAAAUAAAAACAGGAGUACUAACCUUUGUACCUUUACAGAAAUAUUCAACCCUCUGACAAGUAUGUAGUGAUAGAAAGAAGAAUGUUCCAACAUAAUUGAAUUUAAUGUCAUUUUCAGAUUAUGGGAUCAUGAAGAUUUUAAAGAAGGAAAUUAUUCAUUUUUAAUUGAAUAGGCUAAAGAACAAGGAGGAAAACCUUAGCAGUCGAUGCGGAUUACCAUUUGAUUUUCACAUUCAUGUAGUGGCAGUUUUCUUCAAUAUAAAAAAGAAGUAAAGAUGAUGCCAAAAUAUAUUAAAAUUACCAA
Odocoileus virginianus texanus is the source of this 596-nucleotide long non-coding RNA. RefSeq lists it as uncharacterized. The record is from RefSeq and is a predicted model, not a curated record. NCBI's taxonomy places the organism in Eukaryota, Metazoa, Chordata, Mammalia, Artiodactyla, Cervidae.